RNAcentral lists this ribosomal RNA (253 nucleotides) under uncultured bacterium. RNAcentral's name for it is "partial 16S ribosomal RNA". It matches the Rfam family "Bacterial small subunit ribosomal RNA", at positions 524 to 776 of the family's 1533-position model. The record is from RNAcentral.
UACAGAGGGUGCAAGCGUUGCUCGGAAUUAUUGGGCGUAAAGGGCAGGUAGGUGGUCUGCUAAGUCUGGGGUGAAAGCCUUGAGCUUAACUCAAGAAGUGCCUUGGAAACUAACAGACUAGAGUACUGGAGAGGGUCGCGGAAUUCCCGGUGUAGCGGUGAAAUGCGUAGAGAUCGGGAGGAAUAUCAGAGGCGAAGGCGGCGGCCUGGACAGUUACUGACACUCAACUGCGAAAGCGUGGGGAUCAAACAGG